AUACGGAGACUACGAGCGUUACUCGGAUUCACUGGGCGUAAAGGGAGCGCAGGCGGAAUGGUGUGUUAGGUGUGAAAUCUCGGGGCUUAACUCCGAAAUUGCGCCUAAAACUAUCAAUCUAGAGUCUUGGAGAGGUAAGCGGAAUUUCCAGUGUAGCGGUAAAAUGCGUAGAUAUUAGAAGGAACACCAGUGGCGAAGGCGGCUUGCUGGGCCAUUACUGACGCUGAGGCACGAAAGCGU
RNAcentral lists this ribosomal RNA (240 nucleotides) under uncultured bacterium. RNAcentral describes it as "partial 16S ribosomal RNA". It matches the Rfam family "Bacterial small subunit ribosomal RNA", at positions 523 to 762 of the family's 1533-position model. The record is from RNAcentral.